UACGUAGGGGGCGAGCGUUGUCCGAAUUUACUGGGCGUAAAGCGCGCGUAGGCGGACUUUUAAGUUGUGGGUGAAAUUCCGAGGCUCAACCUCGGAACUGCCUGCAAAACUGGGAGUCUUGAGGUAUGGAGAGGGAAGUGGAAUUCCUGGUGUAGCGGUGAGAUGCGUAGAUAUCAGGAGGAACACCUGUGGCGAAGGCGGCUUCCUGGCCAUAUCCUGACGCUGAGGUGCGAAAGCCAGGGUAGCGAACGGG
This 253-nucleotide ribosomal RNA is filed under the name uncultured prokaryote. RNAcentral describes it as "partial 16S ribosomal RNA". It matches the Rfam family "Bacterial small subunit ribosomal RNA", at positions 524 to 776 of the family's 1533-position model. The record is from RNAcentral.